UACGUAGGGUGCAAGCGUUAAUCGGAAUUACUGGGCGUAAAGCGUACGCAGGCGGCUUUGCAAGACAGAUGUGAAAUCCCCGGGCUCAACCUGGGAACUGCAUUUGUGACUGCAAGGCUGGAGUACGGCAGAGGGGGAUGGAAUUCCGCGUGUAGCAGUGAAAUGCGUAGAUAUGCGGAGGAACACCGAUGGCGAAGGCAAUCCCCUGGGCCUGUACUGACGCUCAUGCACGAAAGCGUGGGGAGCAAACAGG
RNAcentral lists this ribosomal RNA (253 nucleotides) under uncultured bacterium. RNAcentral describes it as "partial 16S ribosomal RNA". It matches the Rfam family "Bacterial small subunit ribosomal RNA", at positions 524 to 776 of the family's 1533-position model. The record is from RNAcentral.